Long non-coding RNA from Lactuca sativa (garden lettuce), 1322 nucleotides. RefSeq lists it as uncharacterized. NCBI's taxonomy places the organism in Eukaryota, Viridiplantae, Streptophyta, Magnoliopsida, Asterales, Asteraceae. The record is from RefSeq and is a predicted model, not a curated record.
UUUAUAAAAUAUGUGAACCAUAUUCAUUACAAGAUUUAAAAUUUAGACCAAAUUAGGUGUGGCCGUGUGAUGAAUCUGGUUUUUGGUUCUUUGAUUGACUGUGUUUUGUUCCAGUUUUUUAGCCGUGUCAGUUAUGUGGUUCCCGAGUAUUGGAUCGGUUUUUAUUUGUAAUCUAUGAAACCUUUAAAAAUAAAUAACUCAUUCAUUUGAUGUUGUAAUAACAUGAGAUUUUUUUCCAAACAUGUAGUUUAUAGUUUGCACUUUCAUUUAUGCUAUAAUUUCAUCAUCUUUGGUUCCAUAUUGAAUGAGGGUUACAGUUCUUCGAAAUCAGGUUAUUAAAGUUGAAAGUUUUCGCUUCUAUUUCGACGACGUGUAUGAUACGUAACGAACGUUGUACUGGUCCAACAUGUAUGAGUACCUAAAAACCGAAACUAGUAUAUGUCACUAGAUCCGGUUCCCAGUCCAAAGAAUUCUCUAAAAUCUGUUUGAUUCAAAUAAUAAUCCUAGACCAAAUUUAAAUCAAAAUCAAAAUCAAAAUAUAUCAAAAUCAAAAUCAAAAUCAAAAUCAAAGUUCAUUCCACCCACUUUGAUGUGGAAGGUGAGUAUGUUGUAAAAGCGUAAGUGUAGGGGGUGCUGAUGAAAACAUGCUAUGUUUGAGAAAAGUGGUAGAACGAGCGUUGUACUUGUACCCUCAGAAAUCAGAAUAACCUACUCAGAAAUCCUCGGGAAGAGGGUCGCUCUCAAUUCUCAAAUCUCACGACUUGAUUUGAUUUGAUCCGAAUCCCUAUUUCCAAUGGCGAAUCUGAAUCAGCAACAAAUCUCAAUUAAGCCAUGGAUCCUUGAAGUUGUUCCCUUCAUAGUCCUUGUUCUCAUAGCCGCUCAUGUCAUCGCUUUGGUCUAUUGGAUAUACAGAUUAGCUACGGAAAAGCUCCCUGGACGAAGAAAGAAGCACUAGACCUGCUUCUACUUCUAAUUCAUAGUUCAGUGGUUACACGAAGAAUCGAAGGUGUAGUGAUCCAAGAUCUUGUUGAUUUGUUUAAUUUUUUACAUUUUAGUCUUUGUGUAUGGGGUGUAGGGAACUCUUGUUGGAGGCAUACAAGGUGUUCGAUGAAAUGCGUGAAAGAAAUGUUGUCAAUUUGACGAUUAGUUUGGGUGUGUGAAAUGAAAAGUGAUGUAUUCAGUUAGUGUUCAUGAAAAGUUUUUUUUUACAGAGUUUAAGAAUUUCUUCUUGUGUUUUGGUUUCUUCUCCUUUGAAGUUCAUACUUCAAGAAUAUUGUAUAUGAACUUGUCAUUUCACCAAAUCUGUAUCAAGAUUUAUUCAA